UCAUAAAUAGAAAAGAUGAGCAAAAAAAGGGGGGUGGGGGGGGGAAAGAGAAACGUGAACUGCUGUGCCACUUCAUUCCUUCUUUGACCUGUGAAUGGGGCUAUUCAUAAACUAAGAUUGCAGAGCUCCUUGAAAUAAGAAAUGCAAAUGUUAUCAUCAUGGCUUUGCUUUCCAAAGGUAAAUAGGCUAAUAAAUUUUAUGGCUGCUGAGUUAUCAGCUUGGUAGAAUAUAAAGGAGGAAAAAGAAGAGAAUUUGUUUCCUAGCAGCCAUAAAGUAACCCACAGCACUCCAUUUUACCUGCUCAUAGAAGCACUUAUGAAGCUAUUGUUAGGCCUGUUCUUCUUUUGGUGUCUUUCCUCAGAAGGAAAGACAGAUGAUCUCCUGGAAGAGCUGGGGAAACUAAAGGCUCUAGGAAACUUCCAGUUUUCAUGUGAGCAUGGGACGUCAACUGAGAUGCCUUCAUCAUCAGUUCACACUCUGAGGCCAGCUGACAUUAAAGUAGUCACUGCAAUAGGAAGUUUGCAAACAGUAAGUACAUGCAUGAACUGUGAUGAAUGUGACCCAUUUCCUCUGUUCUGACUCCGUGAUGAGGUAAUGGUGAACUGAGCUGGUGGUAAAAUUCGAGGUCCCAGUGAGGGCAUUUAUGACUUGAAACUUUCCAAGAGUAUUAAAGUUUUCUGCUGAAAAAUGGCUGGAAAUAACUUCUGAAUGUUCAGUGUUUCAGCAUACUCUGAAUCUAAAAAUAGCCAGCUGACUUCAUGAAGGAGAAAUUUGAUCACUGCUCUCUUUCUUACACAGAACCGUGAUAUCUGAUUAGUCUGCUUGGAUUUUCCUAACAAUAAGCUGAACAGAUCAAAUGACUGGAAGAAGUGUUUAGGAAAACUCAGACUUGGAAAAUGUACAGUUUUGGCGAUGACUGCCAUUAGGACAAACUAUCAAGAGAUGC
RNAcentral lists this long non-coding RNA (946 nucleotides) under Coturnix japonica (Japanese quail). RNAcentral describes it as "lncRNA (ENSCJPG00005010183.1)". Lineage: Eukaryota; Metazoa; Chordata; Aves; Galliformes; Phasianidae. The record is from RNAcentral.